Molecule: non-coding RNA, 30 nt
Filed under: Mus musculus (house mouse)
Lineage: Eukaryota; Metazoa; Chordata; Mammalia; Rodentia; Muridae
Source: RNAcentral
UAGUAAAUGAAGACUUUUCCAUAGCUGAAA